RNAcentral lists this ribosomal RNA (450 nucleotides) under uncultured bacterium. RNAcentral describes it as "bacterial SSU rRNA". It matches the Rfam family "Bacterial small subunit ribosomal RNA", at positions 354 to 796 of the family's 1533-position model. The record is from RNAcentral.
GUGGGGAAUUUUGGACAAUGGGCGCAAGCCUGAUCCAGCAAUGCCGCGUGCAGGAAGAAGGCCUUCGGGUUGUAAACUGCUUUUGUACGGAACGAAACGGUCCUGGUUAAUACCUGGGGCUAAUGACGGUACCGUAAGAAUAAGCACCGGCUAACUACGUGCCAGCAGCCGCGGUAAUACGUAGGGUGCGAGCGUUAAUCGGAAUUACUGGGCGUAAAGCGUGCGCAGGCGGUGCUGUAAGACAGGCGUGAAAUCCCCGGGCUCAACCUGGGAGUUGCGCUUGUGACUGCAGUGCUGGAGUACGGCAGAGGGGGAUGGAAUUCCGCGUGUAGCAGUGAAAUGCGUAGAUAUGCGGAGGAACACCGAUGGCGAAGGCAGUCCCCUGGGCCUGUACUGACGCUCAUGCACGAAAGCGUGGGGAGCAAACAGGAUUAGAUACCCUGGUAGUCC